This 76-nucleotide transfer RNA is filed under the name Haemophilus influenzae biotype aegyptius. RNAcentral's name for it is "tRNA-Ala". It matches the Rfam family "tRNA". From Rfam's summary of the family: Transfer RNA (tRNA) molecules are approximately 80 nucleotides in length. RNAcentral also lists the same sequence under 3 other names. The record is from RNAcentral. Lineage: Bacteria; Pseudomonadati; Pseudomonadota; Gammaproteobacteria; Pasteurellales; Pasteurellaceae.
GGGGAUAUAGCUCAGUUGGGAGAGUGCUUGAAUGGCAUUCAAGAGGUCGUCGGUUCGAUCCCGAUUAUCUCCACCA